AUGCUCGCGCCGGAGAAGGGCGGCCGCCUCACCGGAGCCGUCAGCAGGCUUCGCCGAGGCGCGUGCUCACGGGAGGAGGGAAGCCGUGCCACCGGGACCGGCGGUGCUCGCCCUGAUGCAGUCUGGGUGCAACUCCACUAUCUACUACAACCUCCAGGCGGCCGCCCUCGUCGCGGACCCGCCAGCUCCACUGCCGAUCUCCGCGGCCUCUGCGCCAUCGCCGUCACCGCGGCGACCGCCAACGCCUCCGCCAUCGCGUUCGUGCUCGCCAACACCACCUGGGGCACACCAGAGCCCGGUAGCGACGGGCGCACACAACAGGUGCCGACGCUCCUGAUGAGGACCUGCGCCGGCAAGUACGGCGAGGCGGAAGGAGGUAGUCGUCCACACGUGGGGGAGGGGGUGAUUGCUUUUUCUUUUUUGAUACAAGGGUGUGUGUGCAAUUUCUUUGCCAAAUUAGCUCCUUACAAUCUGGGCCUACCUGCCAGAAAGUGA
This 495-nucleotide ribosomal RNA is filed under the name Triticum aestivum (bread wheat). RNAcentral's name for it is "partial small subunit ribosomal RNA". The record is from RNAcentral. Lineage: Eukaryota; Viridiplantae; Streptophyta; Magnoliopsida; Poales; Poaceae.